GUGAACGCUGGCGGUAGGCCUAACACAUGCAAGUCGAACGGCAGCACAGUAAGAGCUUGCUCUUACGGGUGGCGAGUGGCGGACGGGUGAGGAAUACAUCGGAAUCUACUUUUUCGUGGGGGAUAACGUAGGGAAACUUACGCUAAUACCGCAUACGACCUACGGGUGAAAGCAGGGGAUCUUCGGACCUUGCGCGAUUGAAUGAGCCGAUGUCGGAUUAGCUAGUUGGCGGGGUAAAGGCCCACCAAGGCGACGAUCCGUAGCUGGUCUGAGAGGAUGAUCAGCCACACUGGAACUGAGACACGGUCCAGACUCCUACGGGAGGGAGCAGUGGGGAAUAUUGGACAAUGGGCGCAAGCCUGAUCCAGCCAUACCGCGUGGGUGAAGAAGGCCUUCGGGUUGUAAAGCCCUUUUGUUGGGAAAGAAAAGCAGCAGGUUAAUACCCCGCUGUUCUGACGGUACCCAAAGAAUAAGCACCGGCUAACUUCGUG
RNAcentral lists this ribosomal RNA (491 nucleotides) under uncultured bacterium. RNAcentral's name for it is "partial 16S ribosomal RNA". It matches the Rfam family "Bacterial small subunit ribosomal RNA", at positions 29 to 507 of the family's 1533-position model. The record is from RNAcentral.